UACGAAGGGUGCAAACGUUGCUCGGAAUCAUUGGGCGUAAAGCGCACGUAGGCGGCUUCAAAAGUCGGAUGUGAAAUCCCGUGGCUCAACCAUGGACGUGCAUUCGAAACUGCGAAGCUUGAGUAUGGAAGAGGGUCGCGGAAUUCCCGGUGUAGAGGUGAAAUUCGUGGAUAUCGGGAGGAACACCAGUGGCGAAGGCGGCGACCUGGGCCAAUACUGACGCUGAGGUGCGAAAGCGUGGGGAGCAAACAGG
Molecule: ribosomal RNA, 253 nt
Filed under: uncultured bacterium
Lineage: Bacteria
Description: partial 16S ribosomal RNA
Rfam family: Bacterial small subunit ribosomal RNA
Source: RNAcentral